GGUAGGGUAAGCGCGCUGAUGGAUAUGCGCGUCCAAGCAGUUAGGCUGACAAGUAGGCAAAUCCGCUUGUCAUAAAGGCUGAGCUGUGAUGGCGAGGGAAAUAUUAGUACCGAAGUUCCUGAUCCUACACUGCCAAGAAAAGCCUCUAGCGAGGUGACUGGUGCCCGUACCGCAAACCGACACAGGUAGGCGGGAAGAGAAUUCUAAGACGCGCGGGAGAACUCUCGUUAAGGAACUCGGCAAAAUGACCCCGUAACUUCGGGAGAAGGGGUGCUCUAUUAGGGUUUACGCCCGAGAGAGCCGCAGUGAAUAGGCCCAAGCGACUGUUUAUCAAAAACACAGGUCUCUGCUAAGCCGCAAGGCGACGUAUAGGGGCUGACACCUGCCCGGUGCUGGAAGGUUAAGAGG
RNAcentral lists this ribosomal RNA (408 nucleotides) under Pseudomonas sp. 2995-3. RNAcentral describes it as "bacterial LSU rRNA". It matches the Rfam family "Bacterial large subunit ribosomal RNA", at positions 1481 to 1884 of the family's 2925-position model. The record is from RNAcentral. Lineage: Bacteria; Pseudomonadati; Pseudomonadota; Gammaproteobacteria; Pseudomonadales; Pseudomonadaceae.